RNAcentral lists this ribosomal RNA (581 nucleotides) under uncultured soil bacterium. RNAcentral describes it as "bacterial SSU rRNA". It matches the Rfam family "Bacterial small subunit ribosomal RNA", at positions 35 to 589 of the family's 1533-position model. The record is from RNAcentral.
GCUGGCGGCGUGGAUAAGACAUGCAAGUCGAGCGCUGAUUACAGGGUAGCAAUAUUCUGUAGUCGGAGCGGCGCAAGGGUGCGUAACACGUGGGUAAUCUGCCAUGAAGUUUGGAAUAACUUGCUGAAAGGCGAGCUAAUACCGGAUGUGACGAUUGGAAGGCAUCUUCUGAUUUUCAAAGCUAGGGACCGUAAGGCCUGGCGCUUCAUGAUGAGCCCGCGGCCUAUCAGCUAGUUGGUGAGGUAACGGCUCACCAAGGCUAAGACGGGUAGCUGGUCUGAGAGGACGACCAGCCACACUGGAACUGAGACACGGUCCAGACACCUACGGGUGGCAGCAGUCGAGAAUUUUUCACAAUGGGCGCAAGCCUGAUGGAGCGACGCCGCGUGGGGGAUGAAUGGCUUCGGCCCGUAAACCCCUGUCAUUUGCGAACAAGUUGGUUCAAUUAAUACCUGAACCAUUGAUAGUAGCGAAAGAGGAAGGGACGGCUAACUCUGUGCCAGCAGCCGCGGUAAUACAGAGGUCCCGAGCGUUGUUCGGAUUCACUAGGCGUAAAGGGUGCGUAGGUGGUGAGGUAAGUC